Chrysolophus pictus (golden pheasant) is the source of this 133-nucleotide small nucleolar RNA. NCBI's taxonomy places the organism in Eukaryota, Metazoa, Chordata, Aves, Galliformes, Phasianidae. The record is from Ensembl.
GCACCUGAAUCUUUCCUAUUCCUUGCUGUGCAGUGCUGGUCUAGGGACAGUUGGUGCUAUAGCACAGCAGUAGAAAUCCAGAUGGGUUAAUUUCCACUUGCUUGGAACUCAUCUCUACAGCUCUGCAACAUUU